AACGCACAUUGCGCCCCUUGGUAUUCCGAGGGGCAUGCCUGUUCGAGCGUCAUUGCACAAUCUCUCAAGCCUAGCUUGGUGUUGGGUCUUCAUCCGUCUGUCCCUCCCUCUACUGUUCGGGUAAGGGGGAGAGAACCCGGAUGUACCUAAAAAUUAGUGGCGGUGCCCAUGUUGGUCUCAAGCGUAGCAGACUCUCUCUCGCUUUGGAUGACCUGUCAUGGCUAGCUCACCAGCCCCUGCAUGUAUGCAUGCAUCUUUAACCAAUGUUUGACCUCGGAUCAGGUAGGGAUACCCGCUGAACUUAA
RNAcentral lists this unclassified non-coding RNA (305 nucleotides) under uncultured Trichoglossum. Its description in RNAcentral is "sequence contains ITS2". The stretch from base 1 to 52 matches the Rfam family "5.8S ribosomal RNA", at positions 103 to 154 of the family's 154-position model. The record is from RNAcentral. Lineage: Eukaryota; Fungi; Ascomycota; Geoglossomycetes; Geoglossales; Geoglossaceae.